GACGAACGCUGGCGGCGUGCUUAACACAUGCAAGUCGAACGGAAAGGCCCCUUCGGGGGUACUCGAGUGGCGCACAGGUGAGUAACACGUGAGUAACCUGCCCUUGACUUCGGGAUAACUUCAGUAAACUGGGGCUAAUACCGGAUAGGAAUCCUUGCUGCAUGGUGGGGGUUGGAAAGCUUAGGCGGUUUUGGAUGGACUCGCGGCUUAUCAGCUUGUUGGUGGGGUAGUGGCUUACCAAGGCUUUGACGGGUAGCCGGCCUGGGAGGGCGACCGGCCACAGUGGGACUGAGACACGGACCAGGCCCCGACGGGAGGGAGAAGUGGGGGAGAUUGAAAAAGGGGAGGAAGCCUGAGGCAGCAACGCCGAGGGCGGGAGGACGGCGUUCGGGUUGUAAUCCGAAUUCAGCAGGAGCGAAGCUUGUAGUGACGGUACCUGCAGAAGAAGCACCGGCUAACUACGUG
RNAcentral lists this ribosomal RNA (465 nucleotides) under uncultured bacterium. Its description in RNAcentral is "partial 16S ribosomal RNA". It matches the Rfam family "Bacterial small subunit ribosomal RNA", at positions 28 to 507 of the family's 1533-position model. The record is from RNAcentral.